UAUCAAUAAGCGGAGGAAAAGAAACCAACAGGGAUUGCCUUAGUAACUGCGAGUGAAGCGGCAAAAGCUCAAAUUUGAAAUCUGGCGCCUUCGGCGUCCGAGUUGUAAUUUGGAGAGACAUCUUCGGAGUAGACGCCGUCCUAAGUUCCUUGGAACAGGACGUCACAGAGGGUGAGAAUCCCGUGCCUGGAUGGCUGUUCUACUUCAUGUGAAGUGUCUUCGACGAGUCGAGUUGUUUGGGAAUGCAGCUCAAAAUGGGAGGUAAAUUUCUUCUAAAGCUAAAUAUUGGCGAGAGACCGAUAGCGCACAAGUAGAGUGAUCGAAAGAUGAAAAGCACUUUGAAAAGAGAGUUAAAAAGUACGUGAAAUUGUUGAAAGGGAAGCGCUUGAGACCAGACUCGAUCAGUGGUGAUCAGCGGUGCUUCUGUACCGUGCACUUGCCAUUGAUUGGGCCAGCAUCGGUUUAGACGGCGGGAUAAAGACCUGAGGAAUGUGGCUCCCUCCGGGGAGUGUUAUAGCCUUGGGUGCAAUGCCGCCAGUCUGGACCGAGGACCGCGCUUCGGCUAGGAUGCUGGCGUAAUGGUCUUCAGCGACCCGUCUUGAAACACGGACCAAGGAGUCUAACAUCUAUGCGAGUGUUCGGGUGGAAAACCCUUGCGCGUAAUGAAAGUGAACGGAGGUGAGAACACUUCGGUGUGCAUCAUCGACCGAUCCUGAUGUCUUCGGAUGGAUUUGAGUAUGAGCAUAGCUGUUGGGACCCGAAAGAUGGUGAACUAUGCCUGAAUAGGGUGAAGCCAGAGGAAACUCUGGUGGAGGCUCGCAGCGGUUCUGACGUGCAAAUCGAUCGUCAAAUUUGGGUAUAGGGGCGAAAGACUAAUCGAACCAUCUAGUAGCUGGUUCCUGCCGAA
RNAcentral lists this ribosomal RNA (907 nucleotides) under Pseudombrophila theioleuca. RNAcentral describes it as "eukaryotic LSU rRNA". It matches the Rfam family "Eukaryotic large subunit ribosomal RNA", at positions 41 to 965 of the family's 3401-position model. The record is from RNAcentral. Lineage: Eukaryota; Fungi; Ascomycota; Pezizomycetes; Pezizales; Pyronemataceae.